GACAGGCUUAGCACAUGCAAGUCGAGGGGCAUCACGUAGAAAGCUUGCUUUCUUUGCUGGCGACCGGCGCACGGGUGAGUAACACGUAUCCAACCUGCCCUUUACUCGGGGAUAGCCUUUCGAAAGAAAGAUUAAUACCCGAUAGCAUAAUGAUUCCGCAUGGUUUCAUUAUUAAAGGAUUCCGGUAAAGGAUGGGGAUGCGUUCCAUUAGGUUGUUGGUGAGGUAACGGCCCACCAAGCCUUCGAUGGAUAGGGGUUCUGAGAGGAAGGUCCCCCACAUUGGAACUGAGACACGGUCCAAACUCCUACGGGAGGCAGCAGUGAGGAAUAUUGGUCAAUGGGCGCUAGCCUGAACCAGCCAAGUAGCGUGAAGGAUGAAGGCUCUAUGGGUCGUAAACUUCUUUUAUAUAAGAAUAAAGUGCAGUAUGUAUACUGUUUUGUAUGUAUUAUAUGAAUAAGGAUCGGCUAACUCCGUGCCAGCAGCCGCGGUAAUACGGAGGAUCCGAGCGUUAUCCGGAUUUAUUGGGUUUAAAGGGAGCGUAGGUGGACUGGUAAGUCAGUUGUGAAAGUUUGCGGCUCAACCGUAAAAUUGCAGUUGAUACUGUCAGUCUUGAGUACAGUAGAGGUGGGCGGAAUUCGUGGUGUAGCGGUGAAAUGCUUAGAUAUCACGAAGAACUCCGAUUGCGAAGGCAGCUCACUGGACUGCAACUGACACUGAUGCUCGAAAGUGUGGGUAUCAAACAGGAUUAGAUACCCUGGUAGUCCACACAGUAAACGAUGAAUACUCGCUGUUUGCGAUAUACAGUAAGCGGCCAAGCGAAAGCAUUAAGUAUUCCACCUGGGGAGUACGCCGGCAACGGUGAAACUCAAAGGAAUUGACGGGGGCCCGCACAAGCGGAGGAACAUGUGGUUUAAUUCGAUGAUACGCGAGGAACCUUACCCGGGCUUAAAUUGCAGUGGAAUGAUGUGGAAACAUGUCAGUGAGCAAUCACCGCUGUGAAGGUGCUGCAUGGUUGUCGUCAGCUCGUGCCGUGAGGUGUCGGCUUAAGUGCCAUAACGAGCGCAACCCUUAUCUUUAGUUACUAACAGGUUAUGCUGAGGACUCUAGAGAGACUGCCGUCGUAAGAUGUGAGGAAGGUGGGGAUGACGUCAAAUCAGCACGGCCCUUACGUCCGGGGCUACACACGUGUUACAAUGGGGGGUACAGAAGGCAGCUAGCGGGUGACCGUAUGCUAAUCCCAAAAUCCUCUCUCAGUUCGGAUCGAAGUCUGCAACCCGACUUCGUGAAGCUGGAUUCGCUAGUAAUCGCGCAUCAGCCACGGCGCGGUGAAUACGUUCCCGGGCCUUGUACACACCGCCCGUCAAGCCAUGGGAGCCGGGGGUACCUGAAGUACGUAACCGCAAGGAUCGUCCUAGGGUAAAACUGGUGA
Molecule: ribosomal RNA, 1430 nt
Filed under: uncultured organism
Description: SSU rRNA
Rfam family: Bacterial small subunit ribosomal RNA
Source: RNAcentral